UUAAAGUCACCUGGUGGCUCACCAAGGCAAGAGCAGAGAUGACCCAACUGUGGACUGUUAGAACUGACAGGAAACGGAAAGUAACACUUUCUAGAAUCUAGUGUGCACACCUGGGGAAAAGGAAGACGCCUUCUCAGAGCGGGAGCGAGGUACGCGCGUGUAAGUGCAGAUGCCGGCGGAGGCCGAGGCGACAGAUGGCUGUGAGCUGCCAGAUGUGGCUUCUCAGAUGUGGAACGGACCUCAGGUCCGCGGCAAGAGUAAGCGCUCUCAACUGCUGAGGAAGCUCUCCAGCCCAACAUUUCACGUCCCUUAGAAAGAAAAAGGCCACGAACUCGCUUCAGCAGUGUGGAACGAAGAUCUCACGCAAGCGCUCCACCUCUGAGUUACACCCUGUUUCUACCUGGUCUGUAGCGGAGACUGAGAAGCAUCCGUU
Molecule: long non-coding RNA, 433 nt
Organism: Apodemus sylvaticus (European woodmouse)
Lineage: Eukaryota; Metazoa; Chordata; Mammalia; Rodentia; Muridae
Exons: 3
Source: RefSeq, a predicted model, not a curated record